UACGUAGGGGGCUAGCGUUGUCCGGAAUUAUUGGGCGUAAAGAGCGUGUAGGCGGCCAGAUAAGUCCGCUGUGAAAUCUCGAGGCUCAACUUCGAGCUGUCGGUGGAAACUGUCUGGCUAGAGUCCGGAAGAGGAGAAUGGAAUUCCUGGUGUAGCGGUGAAAUGCGCAGAUAUCAGGAAGAACACCCGUGGCGAAGGCGGUUCUCUGGGACGGUACUGACGCUGAGACGCGAAAGCGUGGGGAGCGAACAGG
RNAcentral lists this ribosomal RNA (253 nucleotides) under uncultured bacterium. Its description in RNAcentral is "partial 16S ribosomal RNA". It matches the Rfam family "Bacterial small subunit ribosomal RNA", at positions 524 to 776 of the family's 1533-position model. The record is from RNAcentral.